This 515-nucleotide ribosomal RNA is filed under the name uncultured bacterium. RNAcentral's name for it is "partial 16S ribosomal RNA". It matches the Rfam family "Bacterial small subunit ribosomal RNA", at positions 28 to 523 of the family's 1533-position model. The record is from RNAcentral.
GAUGAACGCUGGCGGCGUGCCUAAUACAUGCAAGUCGAGCGAAUGGAUUAAGAGCUUGCUCUUAUGAAGUUAGCGGCGGACGGGUGAGUAACACGUGGGUAACCUGCCCAUAAGACUGGGAUAACUCCGGGAAACCGGGGCUAAUACCGGAUAACAUUUUGAACCGCAUGGUUCGAAAUUGAAAGGCGGCUUCGGCUGUCACUUAUGGAUGGACCCGCGGCGCACUAGCUAGUUGGUGAGGUAACGGCUCACAAAGGCAACGAUGCGUAGCCGACCUGAGAGGGUGAUCGGCCACACUGGGACUGAGACACGGCCCAGACUCCUACGGGAGGCAGCAGUAGGGAAUCUUCCGCAAUGGACGAAAGUCUGACGGAGCAACGCCGCGUGAGUGAUGAAGGCUUUCGGGUCGUAAAACUCUGUUGUUAGGGAAGAACAAGUGCUAGUUGAAUAAGCUGGCACCUUGACGGUACCUAACCAGAAAGCCACGGCUAACUACGUGCCAGCCGCCGCGGUAA